This 2109-nucleotide ribosomal RNA is filed under the name Apoglossum spathulatum. RNAcentral describes it as "eukaryotic LSU rRNA". It matches the Rfam family "Eukaryotic large subunit ribosomal RNA", at positions 51 to 2190 of the family's 3401-position model. Lineage: Eukaryota; Rhodophyta; Florideophyceae; Ceramiales; Delesseriaceae. The record is from RNAcentral.
CGCAGGAAAAGAAACUAACCAGGAUUCCCUUAGUAGCGGCGAGCGAAGCGGGAAAAGCCCAAUAUGAAAAGCCUUUUUGGCGUUGUAUUUUGAGCGUUCUUGAGGUGUCAGUUCGGGAAAGUGUGCAUGAAAAUGCCCGCCGCGGAGGGUUAAAGCCCCGUCCAUCCUGGACACGACAUCCUCGUACACGAACGUUUCAGUCGAGUCGGGUAGCUUGGGAAUGCUGCUCUAAUAGGUGAUAAAUCUCAUCUAAGGCUAAAUACUGGUGAGAGACCGAUAGUGAACAAGUACCGUGAGGGAAAGUUGACAAGCACUUUGAAAAGAGGGUGAAAAGAACCUGAAACCGUUACGGGGGAAGCGGAUUGCGUCGAAUUGAAUGAGUGCGUGUUGCUCAGCCCCAUAUUUUAUGGAGUGUAUUCAUCACGUUACUUACCCGUCGUGGGUUUCUGGUAGUCGAUUUUGCGGCUGCUGGGGGCUGAGGGAUCCCCUUUCUAGGGUGAGGACGACGGGGCGCCGACGCGAUACGACCCGUCUUGAAACACGGACCAAGGAGUCUAGCGUAGCUGCGAGUCGUAGGGUAUUGAAACCUGAGGGCGCAGUGAAAGCAAAUUGUAUUUUUUGAAAAAACUAAGUUUUUUUUGGCAGUUUGAGGCGGCAUACGAUCUUUGAUUGUAAGUCCGACCUUGAGCAGUUAUGCUAGGACCCGAAAGAUGGUGAACUAUGCCGGAGUAGGGCGAAGCCAGAGGAAACUCUGGUGGAGGCUCGUAGCGUUGCUGACGUGCAAAUCGCUCGUUAAACUCGGGUAUAGGGGCGAAAGACUAAUCGAACCAUCUAGUAGCUGGUUUCCUCCGAAGUUUCUCUCAGGAUAGCAGGCCGAAAUUUUGUUGUUGUGUGUGGUAAAGCGAAUGAUUAGCGUACUUGGGGGCUCUAUGCCUCCAGACGAUUCUCAAACUUUAAAUGCGCACGGAUGUUGCUGCUUUGUUGAGUGGCAUCGUCAAAAACUUCGGCUUUGUGGGCCAUUUUUGGUAAGCAGAACUGGCGAUACGGGAUGAACCGUAAGUGUGGUUAAGGCGUCAAAGUAUCCGCUUAUAGAUUCCAAAAAAGGUGUUGAUUCAUUAUGACAGCAGGACGGUGGCCAUGGAAGUCGGAAUCCGCUAAGGAGUGUGUAACAACUCACCUGCCGAAUGAAUUAGCCCUGAAAAUGGAUGACGCUUAAGCGGGUGGCCGACACCACGCCGUCUGAACAAAUAAAUUUUUUUAUAUGCUUUCAGAUGAGUAGGAGGACGUGGCGGUCGUAUCGAAGCGUGCGUGCAAACGUGCGUGGAACGGCCGCUAGUGCAGAUCUUGGUGUCAGUAGCAAAUAUUCAAUUGAGAACCUUGAAGGGCGAAGCGGGGAAGGGUUCCACGCGAACAUUGAUUGGGCGUGGGUAAGUCGUUCCUAAGCCGCGUGGCAAUAGCUAAGUAUUGGCGAAAGGGAAGCAGGUUGACAUUCCUGCACACGGAUGUGGAGGCGGUGACGCACUUCUGGGACGAUUAAGCUGGCGAUGGCACUGGGCAGAGUUGUCUUUUCUGUUUGACCGUACCAUACGCGCUGUGUGGAAUCCGCUUGUCGGGAGAAACACGCGUGUUUGGGCAGAGCGCCGGGGUUUUUCCGGUGUCCAGACCGCCAUCGACGGACCUUGAAACAUCGUCUGCUGGCAGAUUAUUUCGAAUCUCAUUUUUUUGGGCUUAGAAUUCUGUGUGAAAAAUCCACGCCGUAACGUACCGAUAACCGCAUCAGGUCCCCAAGGUGAACAGCCUCUGCUCGAUAUGAACAAUGCAGGUAAGGGAAGUCGGCAAAUUGGACCCGUAACUUUGGGAAAAGGGUUGGCUCUAGUGCUGCGUGGGAGUGGUUGUUUUGUUGUGGGGGUGCUUUUUCGGUGAACCUCUUUGGUUGUGUGACGUUUUUGGUCUUGUAUCAGGACUUGCAUGGCUAGAGGAUCUCGUGGGCGCUCUUGCUCGAAACGACGCCCACAGUAUGCAGCAAACUAGAACUGCAACGGGCAAAGGGAAUCCGACUGUUUAAUUAAAACAAAGCAUUGCGAAGGCCGUGGCCGGUGUUGACGCAAU